Molecule: ribosomal RNA, 474 nt
Filed under: uncultured bacterium
Lineage: Bacteria
Description: bacterial SSU rRNA
Rfam family: Bacterial small subunit ribosomal RNA
Source: RNAcentral
GGACGAACGCUGGCGGCGUGCCUAACACAUGCAAGUCGAACGAAGCAUUUAAGUGAAUCCCUUCGGGGUGAAGCUUUUAUGACUUAGUGGCGGACGGGUGAGUAACACGUGGGUUACCUACCUCUAAGACGGGGACAACAGUUGGAAACGAUUGCUAAUACCGGAUGUGCUCUACGGAGUAAAGGAGCCUUUAAAGCUUCGCUUAGAGAUGGGCCUGCGGUGCACUAGCUAGUUGGUGGGGUAAUGGCCUACCAAGGCGACGAUGCAUAGCCGAACUGAGAGGUUAAUCGGCCACACUGGGACUGAGAUACGGCCCAGACUCCUACGGGAGGCAGCAGUCGGGAAUAUUGCGCAAUGGAGGAAACUCUGACGCAGUGACGCCGCGUGCAGGAAGAAGGUUUUCGGAUUGUAAACUGCUUUAGACAGGGAAGAAACAAGACAGUACCUGUAGAAUAAGCUCCGGCUAACUACGUG